This 433-nucleotide ribosomal RNA is filed under the name uncultured bacterium. Its description in RNAcentral is "partial 16S ribosomal RNA". It matches the Rfam family "Bacterial small subunit ribosomal RNA", at positions 29 to 507 of the family's 1533-position model. The record is from RNAcentral.
AACGAACGCUGGCGGCAUGCCUAACACAUGCAAGUCGAACGAGACCUUCGGGUCUAGUGGCGCACGGGUGCGUAACGCGUGGGAACCUGCCCUUAGGUUCGGAAUAACUCCCCGAAAGGGGUGCUUAUACCGGAUAAUGUCUUCGGACCAAAGAUUUAUCGCCUUUGGAUGGGCCCGCGUUGGAUUAGCUAGUUGGUAGGGUAAAAGCCUACCAAGGCGACGAUCCAUAGCUGGUCUGAGAGGAUGAUCAGCCACACUGGGACUGAGACACGGCCCAGACUCCUACGGGAGGCAGCAAUGGGGAAUAUUGGACACUGGGCGAAAGACUGAUCCAGCAAUGCCGCGUGAGUGAUGAAGGCCUUAGGGUUGUAAAGCUCUUUUACCCGGGAUGAUAAUGACAGUACCGGGAGAAUAAGCUCCGGCUAACUCCGUG